Molecule: ribosomal RNA, 401 nt
Filed under: Nocardiopsis sp. MUBA115
Lineage: Bacteria; Bacillati; Actinomycetota; Actinomycetes; Streptosporangiales; Nocardiopsidaceae
Description: bacterial SSU rRNA
Rfam family: Bacterial small subunit ribosomal RNA
Source: RNAcentral
GAGCAUGGCUCAGGACGAACGCUGGCGGCGUGCUUAACACAUGCAAGUCGAGCGGUAAGGCCCUUCGGGGUACACGAGCGGCGAACGGGUGAGUAACACGUGAGCAACCUGCCCCUGACUCUGGGAUAAGCGGUGGAAACGCCGUCUAAUACCGGAUACGACCUUCCGCCUCAUGGUGGAGGGUGGAAAGUUUUUUCGGUCAGGGAUGGGCUCGCGGCCUAUCAGCUUGUUGGUGGGGUAACGGCCUACCAAGGCGAUUACGGGUAGCCGGCCUGAGAGGGCGACCGGCCACACUGGGACUGAGACACGGCCCAGACGCCUCGUGCGGGAGGCAGCAGUGGGGAAUAUUGCGCAAUGGGCGAAAGCCUGACGCAGCGACGCCGCGUGGGGGAUGACGGCCU